RNAcentral lists this ribosomal RNA (1279 nucleotides) under uncultured Mantoniella. RNAcentral's name for it is "partial Bacterial large subunit ribosomal RNA". It matches the Rfam family "Bacterial large subunit ribosomal RNA", at positions 17 to 1200 of the family's 2925-position model. The record is from RNAcentral. Lineage: Eukaryota; Viridiplantae; Chlorophyta; Mamiellophyceae; Mamiellales.
GUGUUUUGUGGAUGCCUUGGCUCCAAAGCAAUUGGGCGUAGUCAAACAUGCGAAAUGUGUCUAAUGAGAACCAUAUUACUGUUUUGUGUUACGCAAUAUGACGUCGCUUCCUCACCGGACGGAGAAAAACCGUCACCUCUUCUGGAAAGACCCGGAAAAGUGGUUGAUAGUCUUGCAGUACGGUUCUGAAAUAAGAACAAUUCCCACAGUGGGAAACCACAAAAGUGAUUUACACGUGACGAACUGAAACAUCUCAUUAGUUACAGGAAAAGAAAUCAACCGAGAUGCCGUAAGUAUUGGCGAAAGAAAGCGGCAAUGGCACGAUACACACUAAAACAAGAAGCUGUUUAGAGAAAGCACCAAAGAAGGUACGAGUCCUGUAUUAAAUGUGAGUGUGUAUUGACAAGUAGAACGUUCACUGUUUGAACACGGGAGAACCACCUUCUAAGCCAAAUUAUGCUUUGGAGAUCGAUAGCGAACAAGUACUGUGAAGGAAAGGUGAAAAGAACCUGAUAAAAAGGGAGUGAAAAGAUCUGAAUCAAAACACUGACAAGCAAUCGAAGCCUCUGAGUUCGCAACCCCAGCGGCUCAUAUACGGGUGACGGUGUACCUUUUGCAUAAUGGGUCAGCGACUAAAUGAAACAAGCAAGCUUAAGCACUGAUGUGGAAGCAAAGCAAAAGCAAGUAAACAAUCUGCGUACGGAGGCCCACUCGUGCACUACGGACGCGGGGACCAAAGAUCGAAAUGACUUUGAUGAAGAGGGUGUACCACUGUUUGGUUCAUUUGACCCGAAACUAAGUGAUCUCGCCUUGAGCAGGUUGAAGGAAGCGUAAUUUCUUUUGGAGGACCGAACCGACGUCUGUAGCAAUAGACGCGGAUGAGUUGAGGCGAGGGGUGAAAGGCCAAUCAAACUUAGAUAUAGCUGGUUCUUCGCGAAAUGUAUUGAGGUACAGCGUACAAUGAAGCAUGAUGGGGGUAGAGCACUUGUUGAGCUAUGGGGGUCCAAAACCUUACUGCUCUCACGAAAACUCCGAAGACCAUACAUUUGCUUUCAUGUGCAGACAGACUUUCAGUGCUAAGGUUGAAAGUCGAAAGGGAAACAGCCCAGCCUGGCCGCUAAGGUCCCAAAGCUUUCUGUGAGUGGGAAAAGAUGUGAGACAACGGUUACAACUAGGAGGUUGGCUUGGAAGCAGCCAUUCUAUCAUGAAAGCGUAAUAGCUCACUAGUCGAGUUGUUUUGCGCUGAAAAUGUAUCGGGGCUGAACAGAAACGCCGACGC